RNAcentral lists this unclassified non-coding RNA (240 nucleotides) under uncultured fungus. RNAcentral describes it as "sequence contains ITS1, 5.8S rRNA gene". The stretch from base 192 to 240 matches the Rfam family "5.8S ribosomal RNA", at positions 1 to 49 of the family's 154-position model. The record is from RNAcentral. Lineage: Eukaryota; Fungi.
UUUCCGUUGGUGAACCUGCGGAAGGAUCAUUACAGAGUUCAUGCCCUAACGGGUAGACCUCCCACCCUUUGUUAUACCUACCUUUGUUGCUUUGGCGGGCCGCCUCGGCCACCGGCUCCGGCUGGUGCGUGCCCGCCAGAGGACCCCAAACUCUGAAUGUUAGUGUCGUCUGAGUACUAUCUAAUAGUUAAAACUUUCAACAACGGAUCUCUUGGUUCUGGCAUCGAUGAAGAACGCAGC